UGAAAGGGUUAGAAGAAAGAAAAAUGAAGCAAGUGUCAAACAUGGGUAUGGUAUGGGAUUUGUGUGUUGCUCUGUGGGGAAAUAUGCCAGAGUUUAAAGAUAUGGCUUGAUGAAUUGAUGGCUCCACAAGGGUUCAUGACUGCACCAGUUGGUUGUUGGGGGAGAUGGACUAAAGAGUGAUUCAACUACUCUUAAAUCUUUUAUCACAAUGAGCUACAGUAAGCUAGAUUAAACUUGACAAAGUAGUUGUUAAACCAGCUUCCAUGUAUUUUUUUUUAUAUUCAGAUUUGAAGUUUUAGUUAACUGAUUUAAAAGGAUUGCAAUUUAAUGAAUACAGAAAUAGAAAAAGACACUUACCUGUACCACAAUGCAAGGAGAGAGGCAUUUUCAAGAUGGCUGUCAUCUGUAUCAGGGGAGGUAAUCAGAAAAGAAGUUCAUAAAAGUAAAUACAAGGUUCUGUUGUCAAGCUGAAGUACCUAUACAGGAAGCUGUUGAGUUAUAUGAGAGAGCAUUUAAAGGGACCAAUGUUAGCAUACCACAGAACAAGUCUCCACAUGAACUUUGCUGCACAUCUAGAGUAUCUCAAUCUCUGGGAAUGGGUUGUCUUUGUUGCAUUGCAUAUCGAGAAUCGAUCAGCCCAGAGUCAGCUGUACAAAGUAUACUCAACUGGCACAUUCAGCUUUCAUCAUCAGAGUCUAACCCAAAGAAAGAAGAGUUACUGAAUGAAAGGAUGUUGGUACCUGUUGAAUGGAUACAUAGUGCUUAGAGGUAUUGGCAAUAUAUGCAAAGAAAAGAAAGAAAGAGUACAUUGUGACCAUUUAUACAUUAGGACAGACUGUUCAAGAAACAAGCGUAUAAAUCUGGUUCAGAAUCCACAAGUUUCCAGCCAAAAAAUGCCAAGAGAAUGACCUGUGUUCAUACUGUAACUCAGUUCUUCUAGACUACAGCGAAGGCUUCAGUUCUUGCCUUUCCCAGUCUGAGAUGAAGGUGAUCAACAUUACAGAGACUUUAAUGAGGAUGAGUACUACAGCAAGUUCCACUUGCCUGCAGUUGAUUUCUACUGGUAUUUAUGAGCAGACGAUUGGAUAAGUCAAGCCCUGGUAUACAACUAUUAUACUUUUAAAAGGAAUUCCAGUCUUGAAAAUUCAGUAGCAGUAGCUGUAAAGUGAAAUAAGAAAAACUUUUAGUGAAAUAUCUAGUCAAAAAAGUAUUGUUACUGGUUUACAACUGAUUGUGAUUGUUUUUCCUUGUGCAUUUUGUCAGUUAAAAACUCAGUGGAAAUUUAAUAACAAUGAAGAAAGGGGGGCAUUUUAAUAUUUUAUAGUGUGGAUUUGACCAAUGGGAUAGCUAGAGGUACAUACUUUUCUCUGGUUGAUAACUUCAUAUGGACUGAACUUAGAAAGUAACAGCUGUUUUAUUAUUGAAUUAAACAGGUCUCAGCAUUUUUGUGAAAAUAGUGCACUUGCAGAGGCUGAUAGAUUUGACUGAACACAAUGGUUGUAACUUGUUUAUGACAUCACAUUGUUAUGACAUCACUGCUGAAUAAACUAUAUUUUGUAUAAUUGUUUGAUCUUACUAUUUUGUAUAAGUGUUUAACCUUGUACUUGAUCUUAAGUGCUUCCUUGAUCUUGCUAUAUUUUUUAUAAGGAUAUCAUUUUGAUCAGAUCUUUGAGACUGUUUUUGGCCUUUACUGAGAAUGAUUUAUCUCUAGUCAAAAUUAUUUAUUAGCAUUGAAAAAUAGUAACAUAGUUUAGAUAUGGCAUUUUGGCCAAAGGAGAAAAUCUAUGUCCUCUUUAAAGCCUUUUUAUACCAUCUGUCAUUUUGUUGUUGUUAAUGUCAUAUCACAGAUUUAAUUAAACUUUUGAUAUGCUGUCAUGGAUAUUUGUUGGGAUUUUUUUUUUGCCCUUUUUGUUUACUAUAUUUCACAUUGAUUACUAAAAGGAGAUAUUCAAGUUUAUAGCUUUUAAAAUAAAGAAAUGUGAGUAUGGUUUCAUACCUUUUAACCUAUGGACACCAUUUAUGAUAUUGAGAGAGUCAGUUUACACCAACAUUUAGUAAUGUUGCUCUAUUAUUGAUCCAACAUUUCUGAAAUAAGAUUUUUCAUUCUUUAGUUAUAAAUGAUAACAUUUAUAUUGUGCCUCAUUCUGAAAUCACAAGGAUGGUAAUAGGAACCUUUGAAAUUUUUAACCUUACCCUGCUAAAUUUAUAUAAUGAACUUGUCCAUCUUUUAAUUUCAACAGUACCAUUAACUGUAAUAAAAGGUAUGUUUACCAAAAAUAUAUUGACUGAAUGGCUACAGUGCAGAUCUUGACUGCAUGCAUGUGCAUGCUGAUCUUGAUCUACACUGGUCGCAAAAGCAGAAUGAAUUAUGUUCAGCAUGAUAAGGGUUAAAUUAUCUACAGUUGC
Long non-coding RNA from Mercenaria mercenaria, 2406 nucleotides. RefSeq lists it as uncharacterized. The record is from RefSeq and is a predicted model, not a curated record. Lineage: Eukaryota; Metazoa; Mollusca; Bivalvia; Venerida; Veneridae. The transcript is spliced from 7 exons.